RNAcentral lists this ribosomal RNA (1653 nucleotides) under Paenibacillus roseus. RNAcentral describes it as "Bacterial large subunit ribosomal RNA". It matches the Rfam family "Bacterial large subunit ribosomal RNA", at positions 1 to 1625 of the family's 2925-position model. Lineage: Bacteria; Bacillati; Bacillota; Bacilli; Caryophanales; Paenibacillaceae. The record is from Rfam by way of RNAcentral.
GGAUCAAAAUUAAAAAGCAUAGAGUAGAAUCCUAGGCAUCUAAAGGUGAAGAAGGACGUAAAAUGUAUACGAUAAGCUUAAUAAGUUGUAUUUAUUAAGAUAUCCUAAUGGGGUUACCUAAAAAGGAAGGUUUAUCUUUUUUAUUUUCUUUGGAAUUCAUAAAAAAGAAAAAAUAAACUCAGUGAAUUGAACCAUCUUAGUAACUGAAGGAACAGAAAGCAACCGCGAUUUCCGAAGUAGUGGUGAGCGAAAUGGAAAUAGUCUUUUAUUUGUUCUUUUUUUUAUUUUUAGGAAAUAAUUAAAAAUUAUACCAUAGAAGGUGAAUAGUCCAGUACUAAAAAAAAAAGUGUUAUUAUUUCUUAUUAGAAUUAUGAAAUAAUAAAACAAGAAUAAAUAAUCACAAGUAAUAUGGAAGUUACUCCGUAUGAAAGAAUAAGAACCACCUUAUAAGACUAAAUACUAUUAGAUGACCGAUAGUGAACAAGUACCGUGAGGGAAAGGUGAAAAGAAUUCUUUUUAAUAGAAAAUGAAAUAGUAUAAAACUCUAUGCUAACAAACAGUAGAAGACUUUAUAAAGUUAACUGCGUGCCUGUUGAAGUAUGAGCCAACGAGUUAAAAAGAAAGGCUUGGUUAAAAAGUAAUCUUUGAAGCCAAAGCGAAGGCAAGUUUUAUUUUGUAAAGAAAUGGAGCGUCGGUCUUUUUUUUUAGACCCGAAGCCGAGUGAUCUACCCAUGACCAGGGUGAAACAUUUCUGAUUGAAAUUGGAGGCCCGAACCGACUAAUGGUGAAAAAUUAGCGGAUGAGUUGUGGGUAGGGGCGAAAAACCAAUCGAACUCGGCACUAGCUGGUUCUCUCCGAAAUGUAUUUAGGUACAGCAAUAAAUAAGAAAAAAAGGGGUAAAGCACUGUUUCAUUUGGGGGCUUCGAAAGUUGUACCUCAGUGUGGCAAACUCUGAAUACUUUAAUUUCUUUUAUUUAUUAGUGAGACAGCGGGGGAUAAGCUCCGUUGUCAAAAGGGGAACAGCCCAGAUCACUAGUUAAGGCCUCUAAAUAAGAAUGAUAGUGAUAAAGGUUGUAGACGUGCUGAAACCGCCGAUAGGUCCGCUCAGAAGCAGCCAUCCUUUAACGAGUGCGUAACAGCUCACGGGUUAUGAGAGGACUUUAUGAAAUCUCUUUUCGUGUUUCAAGCGUAUUUGCGUCGAAAAUUAAUGAGACUUAAUUCUUUGCCGAAACUGUGGGAAUAUUUAUAUAUUCGGUAGGAGAGCGUUCUAUUUUAAUUAUUUAUUUGAUAAUUUUUUAAAUAGAAGUGAGAAUGUUGGCUUAAGUAACGAAAACAUUGGUGAAAAUCCAAUGCCCCGAAAUCCCAAGGUUUCCUUCAAUAAGGCUCGUCCGAGAAGGGUUAGUCAAGACCUAAGGUGAGGCUGAAAGGCGUAAUCGAUGGAAAAAAAGUUAAUAUUCUUUUACUUUUUUUAUUAAAGAACAAAAUAGAAGGACGAAGAUAUCAAAAUAAAUAAUAAAUGGAUUUUAUUUAUUUUUUUCUAUUAGAUAUAAUGUUUUAAUUUUUUGAAAAAAAACUGAAAAUUUAUGUUAUUAUAGUAUUAAUUAAAAAUAAUACAAUAAUAGAAAAAAAAAUCUUCCAAGAAAAUUUCUAAAU